Molecule: unclassified non-coding RNA, 520 nt
Filed under: uncultured Glomus
Lineage: Eukaryota; Fungi; Glomeromycota; Glomeromycetes; Glomerales; Glomeraceae
Also listed under: 1 other name
Description: SSU rRNA
Rfam family: Eukaryotic small subunit ribosomal RNA
Source: RNAcentral
AGCAGCCGCGGUAAUUCCAGCUCCAAUAGCGUAUAUUAAAAUUGUUGCAGUUAAAAGCUCGUAGUUGAAUUUCGGGAUUGACGUGAUGGUCAUGCCUUAAGGGGUAUGAACUGUUACUGUUGAUUUCUCACCUUCUGGAGAAACUUGAUGUCCUUUAUUGGGUGUCUUGCGGAUCCAGGACCUUUACCUUGAAAAAAUUAGAGUGUUUAAAGCAGGCAUUUUUGCUCGAAUACAUUAGCAUGGAAUAAUAGAAUAGGACGGCAUGGUUCUAUUUUGUUGGUUUCUAGGAUCACCGUAAUGAUUAAUAGGGAUAGUUGGGGGCAUUAGUAUUCAAUUGUCAGAGGUGAAAUUCUUGGAUUUAUUGAAGACUAACUACUGCGAAAAGCAUUUGCCAAGGAUGUUUUCAUUAAUCAAGAACGAAAGUUAGGGGAUCGAAGACGAUCAGAUACCGUCGUAGUCUUAACCAUAAACUAUGCCGACUAGGAAUCAGACGAUGUUAAUUUUUUAAUGACUCGUUUGG